This 594-nucleotide ribosomal RNA is filed under the name Actinomycetales bacterium A231. RNAcentral describes it as "bacterial SSU rRNA". It matches the Rfam family "Bacterial small subunit ribosomal RNA", at positions 66 to 677 of the family's 1533-position model. Lineage: Bacteria; Bacillati; Actinomycetota; Actinomycetes; Actinomycetales. The record is from RNAcentral.
ACGAUGAAGCCCUUCGGGGUGGAUUAGUGGCGAACGGGUGAGUAACACGUGGGCAAUCUGCCCUUCACUCUGGGACAAGCCCUGGAAACGGGGUCUAAUACCGGAUACGACCUGCCGAGGCAUCUCGGCGGGUGGAAAGCUCCGGCGGUGAAGGAUGAGCCCGCGGCCUAUCAGCUUGUUGGUGGGGUAAUGGCCUACCAAGGCGACGACGGGUAGCCGGCCUGAGAGGGCGACCGGCCACACUGGGACUGAGACACGGCCCAGACUCCUACGGGAGGCAGCAGUGGGGAAUAUUGCACAAUGGGCGCAAGCCUGAUGCAGCGACGCCGCGUGAGGGAUGACGGCCUUCGGGUUGUAAACCUCUUUCAGCAGGGAAGAAGCGCAAGUGACGGUACCUGCAGAAGAAGCGCCGGCUAACUACGUGCCAGCAGCCGCGGUAAUACGUAGGGCGCAAGCGUUGUCCGGAAUUAUUGGGCGUAAAGAGCUCGUAGGCGGCUUGUCACGUCGGGUGUGAAAGCCCGGGGCUUAACCCCGGGUCUGCAUCCGAUACGGGCAGGCUAGAGUGUGGUAGGGGAGAUCGGAAUUCCUGGUGUA